This is a small nucleolar RNA of Malus domestica (apple), 72 nucleotides long. RefSeq annotates it as small nucleolar RNA R66. The record is from RefSeq and is a predicted model, not a curated record. NCBI's taxonomy places the organism in Eukaryota, Viridiplantae, Streptophyta, Magnoliopsida, Rosales, Rosaceae.
UCCGAUGAUGGAUUAAAUCUUCGAGACCUGAUCAUGGAAUUGAUGAUAACUAUAAGCAUGGUUUCUGAGGAU